RNAcentral lists this transfer RNA (83 nucleotides) under Thermoplasmata archaeon. RNAcentral's name for it is "tRNA-Leu". It matches the Rfam family "tRNA". Rfam says of the family: Transfer RNA (tRNA) molecules are approximately 80 nucleotides in length. Their secondary structure includes four short double-helical elements and three loops (D, anti-codon, and T loops). Further hydrogen bonds mediate the characteristic L-shaped molecular structure. tRNAs have two regions of fundamental functional importance: the anti-codon, which is responsible for specific mRNA codon recognition, and the 3' end, to which the tRNAs corresponding amino acid is attached (by aminoacyl-tRNA synthetases). tRNAs cope with the degeneracy of the genetic code in two manners: having more than one tRNA (with a specific anti-codon) for a particular amino acid; and 'wobble' base-pairing, i.e. permitting non-standard base-pairing at the 3rd anti-codon position. Lineage: Archaea; Methanobacteriati; Thermoplasmatota; Thermoplasmata. The record is from RNAcentral. RNAcentral also lists the same sequence under 2 other names.
GCGGGGGUACCCGAGCGGUCAAAGGGGCAGGACUUAGGAUUCUGUGGCUCAGGCCUUCGUGGGUUCAAAUCCCACCCCCCGCA